UACGUAGGUGGCAAGCGUUGUCCGGAUUUACUGGGCGUAAGGAGCGCGCAGGCGGUCGUUCAAGUCGAGUGUGAAAGCCCCCGGCUCAACUGGGGAGGGUCACUCGAUACUGAUCGACUCGAAGGCAGAAGAGGGAAGCGGAAUUCCCGGUGUAGUGGUGAAAUGCGUAGAUAUCGGGAGGAACACCAGUGGCGAAGGCGGCUUUCUGGUCUGCUCUUGACGCUGAGGCGCGAAAGCUAGGGUAGCAAACGGG
Molecule: ribosomal RNA, 253 nt
Filed under: uncultured bacterium
Lineage: Bacteria
Description: partial 16S ribosomal RNA
Rfam family: Bacterial small subunit ribosomal RNA
Source: RNAcentral